Molecule: non-coding RNA, 93 nt
Organism: Termitomyces sp. 'cryptogamus'
Lineage: Eukaryota; Fungi; Basidiomycota; Agaricomycetes; Agaricales; Lyophyllaceae
Source: the annotation of a GenBank genome assembly
GGCUGGCUGGUUUAAUGGGUUAGAAUGUUAGAGCUCUGCCAAUGUCUGCAGUCUCAUAUGCUCAGGUUGAGGGUUUGAAUCCCUUGCUUGACA